Molecule: ribosomal RNA, 389 nt
Filed under: uncultured bacterium
Lineage: Bacteria
Description: bacterial SSU rRNA
Rfam family: Bacterial small subunit ribosomal RNA
Source: RNAcentral
AUUGAACGCUGGCGGCAUGCCUUACACAUGCAAGUCGAACGGCAGCACGGGGGCAACCCUGGUGGCGAGUGGCGAACGGGUGAGUAACGCAUCGGAAUGUACCCAGUAGUGGGGGAUAACUAGUCGAAAGAUUAGCUAAUACCGCAUACGCACUGAGGUGGAAAGCGGGGGGAUCGCAAGACCUCGCGCUAUUGGAGCAGCCGAUGUCCGAUUAGGUAGUUGGUGGGGUAAAGGCCGUACCAAGCCUGCGAUCGGUAACUGGUCUGAGAGGACGACCAGUCACACUGGGACUGAGACACGGCCCAGACUCCUACGGGAGGCAGCAGUGGGGAAUUUUGGACAAUGGGCGCAAGCCUGAUCCAGCAAUGCCGCGUGUGUGAAGAAGGCCU